UGAGUCUCCUAUUUGUAUUUGCAGCCUCAAACUUCGAUCUCUUCGAGUUAAUGUAGGACAACUGCUGGCCAUGAUUGUACCUGAUCUUGAUCUUCAGCAAGUGAAUUAUGAUGUUGAUGUAGUUGAUGAGAUUUUAGGGCAAGUUGUUGAGCAAAUGAGUGAAAUCAGUAGUACUUAAAGUAUGUCUCAUGAAUUAAUAAAAUACUUGCCCAGUCCUUUUUCUUGUAUGGCUUUCAAAAUAUAAACAGUUUUGUUCUUUAGUUUUGAUAGGUAACAGACUGAAGAACCAUUAUCUUUACUGUAUUCUAUGCAUUCAGAUGUGGUCACAGGUAUUGUGGGCACAUUUCCAUCUUUUUUUAAUGUCUGUGAAUUGUUGGUAUUGAGCAGCUGAAUAGCUAACUUAUGACUGUUUUGAAUGUAUAUAUUUGAAUGUAAAUAUUAGGCCCAUACAUAUUUUUUUAUUGUUCCUAAAAUACAUAAGUGAUUUUCACCAAGAGCUUUUCAGGUUGCCCCUAAGCUUUGUGCAAUUUUUUCUGGUUGCCAAAAGAGUAUUUUUCUUGGAAUUGAGGGCUGUACCAUGAUAUAAAUGAAAAUGCUACUACCUUUGAUUUUCUUAUAAAGGAGUUUAAAUAAUUUUUAAAUAAUGUAAGAGCACUCCUGAUUACAGUCUGGUUAUAAGGGAAUGAGCAUUAGUGUUUCUUUUCUAUAAAUUCCUAUCUCUUGACACACAUUAUUCAUGAAAAUAUUGUAAGCAAAAACUGACUCCAUUUUGCCAGGGUUUUUCUUGUGCUGAGAUUGCCAAUCAUGAUCAAACACAAAGUGUUUUUAUAAAACAAAGAAACAAUCGUUAGUAUAAAGUAUUGAAAAUAUUAAAUAACCACCAAGUUUACUUUUGAAGCCCAUUUUUAGCUGUUUAGUCAGCAUGGAGUGGGCACAAUAAUUAUUUAAUAUUUCUUUUUGUGAAAUUUCCUGUACAGCCUUUUGUAGGAUUAUUGCAGAUUAAUAUGAGUUGAGGAAGACAAUCUUUCUCGACAAUACUGCAAACCUUUUAUUAUAUUACAGACCUAAGUGUUUUAUAUCCUGGAGUUAAGGAACAAACAGCCCUAGGAUUAUAGUAUUACAUGCCAUAAUAUAUGCUUUAUUGUUUUAUGUUUUGUGCAAUCUUAAAGAAAUAGCUUUUUAUUAAGUAUAUAUCUCUAUGUGUAUAUAAUUAAAAAUCAUAUUUUCAACAACUAAAAUAGGCAUUAUUUUUUCCAAAGUUUUAUCAUCGCUAUUUAUUUUUACUUUUGUUUCUGAAAAUUU
Molecule: long non-coding RNA, 1302 nt
Filed under: Marmota monax (woodchuck)
Lineage: Eukaryota; Metazoa; Chordata; Mammalia; Rodentia; Sciuridae
Source: RNAcentral